This is a long non-coding RNA of Nycticebus coucang (slow loris), 490 nucleotides long. RefSeq lists it as uncharacterized. NCBI's taxonomy places the organism in Eukaryota, Metazoa, Chordata, Mammalia, Primates, Lorisidae. The transcript has 3 exons. The record is from RefSeq and is a predicted model, not a curated record.
UUUGGCCGGAGCCAAACCCAUUUGAACCCACCACCCUCGGUAUAUGGGGCCGGUGCCUUACCCAUUGAGCCACAGGCACUGCCCUAGACUCUACUUCUUGAUGGAAAGCUGCUAUGAGAAGUACACUGGCCUGGCUUCUGAGAGAGAAUAUAAAUCAGGAUUCUAAUCAGUCAGCACAGGCAGUGGGCCCCACCUCCUGCACAUCUGGGAACUGCUCUUUAUCCUUCACAUCUUGGCUGGAUAUCACCUUUCUGUCCACCCCUUCAACUCCCACCCCACUUUACUGUCUUCCCCAAGCAAGGUGCUAAACUCUUCCCAUCCUCCUCCCAACUAUGAUACUAUACCUAUUACAUCUUUUGUACUUGUUUCCACUUUUCUCUCUGUGCUGGACCUGUGUCACUUCAAGGCAUAAGUGUCCCCUUUUCAUCCUUGUAACUGCUGUGUAUGGUGCAGGGGCUGGUCCACAGAUUUGUAAAUGUUUGAAUGUCAA